AUUGAACGCUGGCGGCAUGCUUUACACAUGCAAGUCGAGCGGCAGCGCGGGGGCAACCCUGGCGGCGAGCGGCGAACGGGUGAGUAAUGCAUCGGAACGUACCCUGGAGUGGGGGAUAACGCCGCGAAAGCGGCGCUAAUACCGCAUAUGCUCUGAGGAGGAAAGUGGGGGACCGCAAGGCCUCACGCUCUGGGAGCGGCCGAUGUCCGAUUAGCUAGUUGGUGAGGUAAAGGCUUACCAAGGCGACGAUCGGUAGCUGGUCUGAGAGGAUGAUCAGCCACACUGGGACUGAGACACGGCCCAGACUCCUACGGGAGGCAGCAGUGGGGAAUUUUGGUACAAUGGGGGCGAACCCUACGAUCCACGCCAUGCCGCGUGAGUGAAGAAGGCCUCGGUU
RNAcentral lists this ribosomal RNA (397 nucleotides) under uncultured bacterium. RNAcentral describes it as "bacterial SSU rRNA". It matches the Rfam family "Bacterial small subunit ribosomal RNA", at positions 28 to 424 of the family's 1533-position model. The record is from RNAcentral.